CCUACGGGAGGCAGCAGUGGGGAAUAUUGGACAAUGGGGGGAACCCUGAUCCAGCCAUGCCGCGUGUGUGAAGAAGGCCCUCGGGUGGUAAAGCACUUUCAGUGAGGAAGAACGCCUGGUGGUUAAUACCCAUCAGGAAAGACAUCACUCACAGAAGAAGCACCGGCUAACUCCGUGCCAGCAGCCGCGGUAAUACGGAGGGUGCGAGCGUUAAUCGGAAUUACUGGGCGUAAAGCGCGCGUAGGUGGCUUGAUAAGCCGGUUGUGAAAGCCCCGGGCUCAACCUGGGAACGGCAUCCGGAACUGUCAAGCUAGAGUGCAGGAGAGGAAGGUAGAAUUCCCGGUGUAGCGGUGAAAUGCGUAGAGAUCGGGAGGAAUACCAGUGGCGAAGGCGGCCUUCUGGACUGACACUGACACUGAGGUGCGAAAGCGUGGGUAGCAAACAGGAUUAGAUACCCUAGUAGUC
This 465-nucleotide ribosomal RNA is filed under the name Vreelandella stevensii. RNAcentral's name for it is "partial 16S ribosomal RNA". It matches the Rfam family "Bacterial small subunit ribosomal RNA", at positions 338 to 795 of the family's 1533-position model. The record is from RNAcentral. Lineage: Bacteria; Pseudomonadati; Pseudomonadota; Gammaproteobacteria; Oceanospirillales; Halomonadaceae.